AAGCACUGAUUCCUGAAGAGCUGAUUAUAGCUGAUCAGCAACACCUGUGACACCUGCAGGAUGGGUAUAUGAAACCUGCCGUGUGGCUCAGAUCGUAUUUUCUGUUGGUGGCUGAAGUAAUGGGAGCGUUUUGGGCCUUGCUUGUUUUUGUGCUGACUGUCUGGUUCACCAAAGGCUCUGGUUGGCCAGUUGGUGGCACAAAUGUGAAUGGUAAUGGGCCGCAAAGGGCAAUGAGAGUAAUGGGAGCGUUUUGGGCCUUGCUUGUUUUUGUGCUGACUGUCUGGUUCACCAAAGGCUCUGGUUGGCCAGUUGGUGGCACAAAUGUGAAUGGUAAUGGGCCGCAAAGGGCAAUGAGAGAGCUGUCUCCUAAUGAGCCCUCCAUAAAGAAGGCCCUUACGCUUCACCAGUCUGAGUCUGUGUUCCUGCGGAAGUCAAAAGAAGUCCAACUGGAAACUAACGAAGUGGAGGUUAAGGCAUCAGCUGCCUACCUGAAAGCUGUUGAACAUGCGCAUAACGACGGCGUUCCCAUCGGCGCCACGCUGGGCGACUACGGCGGCGCCCUGCUCAACGGCUCGCUGGGCGACUACGGCGGCUACGGCGGCGCCCUGCUCAACGGCUCGCUGGGCGACUACGGCGGCGGCUACGGCGACGCCCUGCUCAACGGCUCGCUGGGCGACUACGGCGGCGGCUACGGCGACGCCCUGCUCAACGGCUCGCUGGGCGACUACGGCGGCGGCUACGGCGACGCCCUGCUCAACGGCUCGCUGGGCGACUACGGCGGCGGCUACGGCGACGCUCUGCUCAACGGCUCGCUGGGCGACUACGGCGGCGGCUACGGCGACGCCCUGCUCAACGGCUCGCUGGGCGACUACGGCGGC
Long non-coding RNA from Gasterosteus aculeatus aculeatus (three-spined stickleback), 878 nucleotides. The record is from Ensembl. NCBI's taxonomy places the organism in Eukaryota, Metazoa, Chordata, Actinopteri, Perciformes, Gasterosteidae.